GGCGGCGUAGCCAAGGGGCCUAAGGCAGGGGAUUGCAAAUCCCCCAUCCCCGGUUCAAAUCCGGGCGCCGCCU
This 73-nucleotide transfer RNA is filed under the name Candidatus Acetothermia bacterium. RNAcentral's name for it is "tRNA-Cys". It matches the Rfam family "tRNA". Rfam says of the family: Transfer RNA (tRNA) molecules are approximately 80 nucleotides in length. Their secondary structure includes four short double-helical elements and three loops (D, anti-codon, and T loops). Further hydrogen bonds mediate the characteristic L-shaped molecular structure. tRNAs have two regions of fundamental functional importance: the anti-codon, which is responsible for specific mRNA codon recognition, and the 3' end, to which the tRNAs corresponding amino acid is attached (by aminoacyl-tRNA synthetases). tRNAs cope with the degeneracy of the genetic code in two manners: having more than one tRNA (with a specific anti-codon) for a particular amino acid; and 'wobble' base-pairing, i.e. permitting non-standard base-pairing at the 3rd anti-codon position. Lineage: Bacteria; Candidatus Bipolaricaulota. The record is from RNAcentral. RNAcentral also lists the same sequence under 1 other name.